AAUUUGCGUUAGGGAUAGAGGCGGCAUCCCCUCCUUUGCCCUUCAAGCCACGGAGGGAUAUAGCCGAAAGCCCGACCCCCU
This 81-nucleotide small RNA is filed under the name Marinirhabdus gelatinilytica. RNAcentral's name for it is "Flavo-1 RNA". Lineage: Bacteria; Pseudomonadati; Bacteroidota; Flavobacteriia; Flavobacteriales; Flavobacteriaceae. The record is from RNAcentral.